GAUGAACGCUGGCGGCGUGCCUAAUACAUGCAAGUCGAGCGAACAGACGAGGAGCUUGCUCCUCUGACGUUAGCGGCGGACGGGUGAGUAACACGUGGAUAACCUACCUAUAAGACUGGGAUAACUUCGGGAAACCGGAGCUAAUACCGGAUAAUAUAUUGAACCGCAUGGUUCAAUAGUGAAAGACGGUUUUGCUGUCACUUAUAGAUGGAUCCGCGCCGCAUUAGCUAGUUGGUAAGGUAACGGCUUACCAAGGCAACGAUGCGUAGCCGACCUGAGAGGGGGAUCGGCCACACCGGAACUGGGACACGGUCCAGACUCCUACGGGGGCAGCAGUAGGGAAUCUUCCGCAAUGGGCGAAAGCUUGACGGAGCAACGCCGCGUGAGUGAUGAAGGUCUUCGGAUCGUAAAACUCUGUUAUUAGGGAAGAACAAAUGUGUAAGUAACUAUGCACGUCUUGACGGUACCUAAUCAGAAAGCCACGGCUAACUACGUG
This 496-nucleotide ribosomal RNA is filed under the name uncultured bacterium. RNAcentral's name for it is "partial 16S ribosomal RNA". It matches the Rfam family "Bacterial small subunit ribosomal RNA", at positions 28 to 507 of the family's 1533-position model. The record is from RNAcentral.